CCAGAGAACUUAGCAGAGAUGCUUUGGUGCCCUCGGGAACUCUGAGACAGGUGCUGCAUGGCUGUCGUCAGCUCGUGUUGUGAAAUGUUGGGUUAAGUCCCGCAACGAGCGCAACCCUUAUCCUUUGUUGCCAGCGGUCCGGCCGGGAACUCAAAGGAGACUGCCAGUGAUAAACUGGAGGAAGGUGGGGAUGACGUCAAGUCAUCAUGGCCCUUACGAGUAGGGCUACACACGUGCUACAAUGGCGCAUACAAAGAGAAGCGACCUCGCGAGAGCAAGCGGACCUCAUAAAGUGCGUCGUAGUCCGGAUUGGAGUCUGCAACUCGACUCCAUGAAGUCGGAAUCGCUAGUAAUCGUGGAUCAGAAUGCCACGGUGAAUACGUUCCCGGGCCUUGUACACACCGCCCGUCACACCAUGGGAGUGGGUUGCAAAGGAAGUAGGUAGUUUAACCUUCGGGAGGGCGCUUACCACUUUGUGAUUCAUGACUGGGGUGAAGUCGUAACAAGGUAAGCGUAGUGCU
This 521-nucleotide ribosomal RNA is filed under the name uncultured bacterium. Its description in RNAcentral is "bacterial SSU rRNA". It matches the Rfam family "Bacterial small subunit ribosomal RNA", at positions 988 to 1509 of the family's 1533-position model. The record is from RNAcentral.